AUUUUCUACUCUCAACCAGAACAAGCAAAACUGAGAUUCCUACUAACAGUUCCAUAUCUCACAUGUGUAGACUGCAGACCACACCACUGUGUGAAGCCUUGUCAAGAGCCUGACAGAGCAUGACCUUCAGCCAUUUUGGAGACACUUCCAAGAAACCCAAGCUCCUGAGCUCAAAUGGUAAGCUCCCCUGCAUGACACCACUACUGAACAAGACAUGCACACUAAUUGCCUGUGGACCAGCAGCUGUAAGAUCUACUGAU
Molecule: long non-coding RNA, 260 nt
Organism: Anas platyrhynchos (mallard)
Lineage: Eukaryota; Metazoa; Chordata; Aves; Anseriformes; Anatidae
Source: RefSeq, a predicted model, not a curated record